UACGAAGGGGGCUAGCGUUGUUCGGAAUUACUGGGCGUAAAGCGCACGUAGGCGGAUCGAUCAGUCAGGGGUGAAAUCCCAGGGCUCAACCCUGGAACUGCCUUUGAUACUGUCGAUCUGGAGUAUGGAAGAGGUGAGUGGAAUUCCGAGUGUAGAGGUGAAAUUCGUAGAUAUUCGGAGGAACACCAGUGGCGAAGGCGGCUCACUGGUCCAUUACUGACGCUGAGGCGCGAAAGCUAGGGGAGCAAACGGG
Molecule: ribosomal RNA, 253 nt
Filed under: uncultured bacterium
Lineage: Bacteria
Description: partial 16S ribosomal RNA
Rfam family: Bacterial small subunit ribosomal RNA
Source: RNAcentral